AUUGAACGCUGGCGGCAGGCCUAACACAUGCAAGUCGAACGAGUGUCGGACGGGUGAGUAAUGUUUGGGAAACUGCCUGAUGGAGGGGGAUAACUACUGGAAACGGUAGCUAAUACCGCAUACCAUCGGAUGUGCCCAGGUGGGAUUAGCUAGUUGGUGGGGUAAAGGCUCACCAAGGCGACGAUCCCUAGCUGGUCUGAGAGGAUGACCAGCCACACUGGAACUGAGACACGGCCCAGACUCCUACGGGAGGCAGCAGUGGGGAAUAUUGCACAAUGGGCGAAAGCCUGAUGCAGCCAUGCCGCGUGUAUGAAGAAGGCCUUAGGGUUGUAAAGUACUUUCAGCGGGGAGGCGUUACCCACAGAAGAAGCACCGGCUAACUCCGUGCCAGCAGCCGCGGUAAUUC
This 406-nucleotide ribosomal RNA is filed under the name uncultured bacterium. RNAcentral's name for it is "partial 16S ribosomal RNA". It matches the Rfam family "Bacterial small subunit ribosomal RNA", at positions 30 to 526 of the family's 1533-position model. The record is from RNAcentral.